This is a ribosomal RNA of Loxodonta africana (African savanna elephant), 476 nucleotides long. It matches the Rfam family "Eukaryotic small subunit ribosomal RNA", at positions 1156 to 1664 of the family's 1831-position model. The record is from Rfam. Lineage: Eukaryota; Metazoa; Chordata; Mammalia; Proboscidea; Elephantidae.
ACAGUAUGACAAACUGACAGAUGCAUGGGGGUACACAUGGGAAACCUCGCCCAGCCUGGACAGGGACAGGAUUUACAGAUUGAUAGCUCUUUCUCGAUUCUGUGGGUGGUGGUGCAUGGCUGUUUUUAGUUGGUGGAGUGAUUUGUCUGGUUAAUUCCAAUAACAAAUGAGACUCUGGCAUGGUAACUAGUUAUGCAACCCCUGAGCGGUCGGCAUCCUGCAACUUAGAGGGACAAGUGGUGUUUAGCCACCCGAGAUUGAGCAAUAACAGGUCUGUGAUGCUCUUAGAUGUCUGGGACUGCAUGGGCGCUACACUGACUGGUUGAGGAUGUGCCUACUCUACACCAGCAGGCUCGGGUAACCCUUUGAACCCCAUUCGUGAUGGGAAUCGGGGAUUGCAAUUAUUCCCCAUGAAUGAGGAAUUCUCAGUAAGUGCGGGUUGUAAGCUUGCGUUGAUUAAUUCCCUGCCCUUUGUA